RNAcentral lists this ribosomal RNA (522 nucleotides) under fungal sp. E15118C. Its description in RNAcentral is "eukaryotic LSU rRNA". The stretch from base 179 to 332 matches the Rfam family "5.8S ribosomal RNA". Lineage: Eukaryota; Fungi. The record is from RNAcentral.
GGGGGACUGCUGAGCGCUUCGGCGCACCCAGAACCCUUUGUGACUUAUACCUAUUUGUUGCCUCGGCGUAGGCCGGCCUCCUCACUGAGGCCCCCUGGAAACAGGGAGCAGCCCGCCGGCGGCCAACUAAACUCUUGUUUCUAUAGUGAAUCUCUGAGUAAAAACAUAAAUGAAUCAAAACUUUCAACAACGGAUCUCUUGGUUCUGGCAUCGAUGAAGAACGCAGCGAAAUGCGAUAAGUAAUGUGAAUUGCAGAAUUCAGUGAAUCAUCGAAUCUUUGAACGCACAUUGCGCCCUCUGGUAUUCCGGAGGGCAUGCCUGUUCGAGCGUCAUUUCAACCCUCAAGCCUGGCUUGGUGAUGGGGCACUGCCUUCUAACGAGGGCAGGCCCUGAAAUCUAGUGGCGAGCUCGCUAGGACCCCGAGCGUAGUAGUUAUAUCUCGUUCUGGAAGGCCCUGGCGGUGCCCUGCCGUUAAACCCCCAACUUCUGAAAAUUUGCCCUCGGAUCAGGUAGGAAUACCCC